Molecule: non-coding RNA, 1073 nt
Organism: Phalacrocorax carbo (great cormorant)
Lineage: Eukaryota; Metazoa; Chordata; Aves; Suliformes; Phalacrocoracidae
Source: RefSeq, a predicted model, not a curated record
CGGGUCUGCUCAUAAUAUGGAGAUGGAAGAUCACCCCAGACUGCCCCAGCUGAUGGAGGCCUGAGACAGAGCUGAGGGGUGCAGGGAGCAAAGAGGUUGCUCCACAGCUGCCUCUGUGACUUCAUCUCUGCGACUCUGGAUGCCCAGCAAGACCUCCUGGAGUUCACCUGCAGGACCUCUUCCCAUCCAUACUUUAAAUUGCUCCUGUCAUGUCCAGCUGACUGUCUUUUCUAGACUCUUCCAAGCAGAGUGCAUCCUCCAUGUUCUAUGAAGACAACAAAAGCAGCUAUAUUCCAUGUUUUGAUGAGCGCUCAUCUAAGAAGCUUGCUUCAAGAUGGUUUUGGACUGCUACUGUUCUGAUUGUUAGGAGGCUUUUCAAUUGUUCCUUUGAGUGUUGCCACUCAGCUGGCAAAUGCUCCAGCAAGCAUGGCUGGACAUUUUAAUUCUGCUGCCAGAAAUUACAUUCUUCUAUGAUAAUUCCAGCUGCAGUUGAUGUCCUAUUGCCAUUCCCUUGGCAAGUUACUCAGGAAAUUUGUAGUUGGUCAUCUUCAGGGUAGCUGCCUUCUCUAAAGUUUUCAAUGAUCAUUGCAGAUGUUCAUUUGUGCUUCUGCAAUACAUGGUACCAUUCCCAAGAAGCUAUCCUAUCACACACGGUAGAAUUUCUAACCAGCUUAGGCUGAUUCAGAGGGGAGGCUCCGUCUAAGAAUAUUUCAAAAUAGUCAGGAUCCAGCUGCAAGGACAGUACAAGUGCAACUUUUUAAAGUGGAAAGUUGCUUCUUCUUAUUCAAGCCUCACUGACAGCGUCUGAGUGGGAAUUAAGCAGUACACUGAUACUGUACAUGAUGAGCAUUGUGGCUGUGGGAUGAGAACGGUUAUAUAUCGGAUGAAUUUAAAAUGACAUAUCUGCAUGUAAAACAAGCGGCUCUUGUUAAAAGAAAGAAAUCCAUGAAGAGCUGUCCAUCUGAAGGCAGGUCGCCUAGCCUAUCCAUGACAGCAACACAAUUUUAAAUAGUCUGUGACAAUGUAUUUUAAAAUGUUUUGGGAAAGUUUUAAUAAAGAUUAUUUAUGCUUUU